UACGUAGGGUGCAAGCGUUGUCCGGAUUUAUUGGGCGUAAAGAGCUCGUAGGCGGUCUGUCGCGUCGGAUGUGAAAACCCAGGGCUCAACCCUGGGCCUGCAUUCGAUACGGGCAGACUAGAGUACGGCAGGGGAGACUGGAAUUCCUGGUGUAGCGGUGAAAUGCGCAGAUAUCAGGAGGAACACCGGUGGCGAAGGCGGGUCUCUGGGCCGUUACUGACGCUGAGGAGCGAAAGCGUGGGGAGCGAACAGG
This 253-nucleotide ribosomal RNA is filed under the name uncultured bacterium. RNAcentral's name for it is "partial 16S ribosomal RNA". It matches the Rfam family "Bacterial small subunit ribosomal RNA", at positions 524 to 776 of the family's 1533-position model. The record is from RNAcentral.